Arabidopsis thaliana (thale cress) is the source of this 350-nucleotide long non-coding RNA. RefSeq annotates it as other RNA. The transcript has a single exon. Lineage: Eukaryota; Viridiplantae; Streptophyta; Magnoliopsida; Brassicales; Brassicaceae. The record is from RefSeq.
GGCAAUGGAAAGAAAAAUAGUCCAAGUGGGUCUCAAAAAUAAACGAAUUUAGCUCUGUCAAUCGCACUUGUCUCUUCAUGUCAUUCGCCGGUUUGCUCCUUCCACGACGGCGGACGAUCUGCUUUUCGACAUUACUGUCUUUUAAUUUUCUUUUAGUUGCCUAUUUUUCGUUGUUGUUGUCCAUUACGCCAUUAUUACUUUUACUAAACAAAUAAUAUUCAAAAAUAUAACAACUAAAAAGGCCAAUUGUUUUUAAUGACCCCUAAAUUUGAGAAAUUAGGAAACUGGCCAUUUGAACUUUGAAGCGCCUAGAAAUAAUGAGCUGCCUGGGAGGCAGAGCUACAUUACAC